This is a long non-coding RNA of Lucilia cuprina (Australian sheep blowfly), 1458 nucleotides long. RefSeq lists it as uncharacterized. The record is from RefSeq and is a predicted model, not a curated record. The transcript is spliced from 3 exons. NCBI's taxonomy places the organism in Eukaryota, Metazoa, Arthropoda, Insecta, Diptera, Calliphoridae.
UUAAAUGAAGCUUCGUCUGGGCACUGGUUUAGUAGUGUUAUCUUGGAUGUUUUGUUUUGAUUAGCAAUUGUUUGGACUGAACUGACUGAUUUCAACAAAAGCAGUAUUCAUUAACUCGUCAUACUUAUGCUUUAUCGUAGCCUUUGAUGCUUUCCAUUAUGUCAAUGACCUUAGCGUGAAUAGCUGGGAUGUAGCUCUUUUUGAAUCACUAGGUUAGCACCGAUCUUAUGAGACUUGCAAAUAACAUGCAAUUUGCUAUCGAGCUAUCAAAGCUCUUGGCAUAGUAGUGCCAUCUGGUCCAGUGCUUAACUUACUUGGACUCUAACCUGAUCUCGAUGUAUACUAUUACAGGAUGAAUCAAUCACUAGUUUAGAACUCAGAAGCAACUCACCCUUAUGAUGUCAUAGGAAGAUAGCAUUCACCCAAUUUACUAAAGACUCACAACAUGACCUCUUGAAGUUAUGCACUUCCACAAUUGAAAGAGUUCUGUUGUAUUGGUAACAACACUGUGUAUACCUAAUAAAUCCCAGAACCCCUUUCAUGCCGUUAAUUGACAGAAGGACAGAAAGAGGUAAAGCGCAACCUCAUUGCAUUGCAUGUCACAAUAUGACAACUAUUGAGACGACAAUAAUACCACAGGCUUUCCCGAAACAUUCUCUCUGCUAGCACAAACCCAACAAUAUUAUCCCGAAACUUCUAUUUGUAUUGGUAACAACACCGAUAUAUACGCUAUUAAUUCCCAGAACCCUCUUUCAUGUCGUUAAUUGAAACCAAUAAUUGGUCCGACAGAAGGAGGUAAAGCUCAACCUCAUCGCAUACCAUGUCACAAUAUGACAACUAUUGAGACUGCAAUAGUACCACAAGCACAAAGAAUGAUUUCGAAGAGUCUGAUGAAUCGUACAGUUUAUGUUCCGACAAGACUAGAAGUGUUUUUAGCACCUCUAUAUACCCGAAUUGAGGAAUCAUCAAAGUGAAGUCUGAUCCCUAAGCUAUUACUACAUGAGCUUCUCGAAAAGGCUAUUCCUAUAUAUUGUACAAGUGACCUACCUAUACCUACCAACCUCAUCGCAUACCAUGUCACAAUAUGACAACUAUUGAGACGGCAAUAGUAUCACAAGCACAAAGAAUGAUUCGAAGAGUCUGAUGAAUCGUACAGUUUAUGUUCCGACAAGACUAGAAGUGUUUUUAGCACCUCUAUAUACCCGAAUUGAGGAAUCAUCAAAGUGAAGUCUGAUCCCUAAGCUAUUACUACAUGAGCUUCUCGAAAAGGCUAUUCCUAUAUAUUGUACAAGUGACCUACGAUCUGCGAGUAUUUGUAGAUUUCUUUCAACAUGUCUAAAGGUGACAGUAUAUCAUAGGAAACCAUUUUUUAUACUAUUUGGAUCCUUCGAAAUAUAAGUCUUGAAAAUCAAAGAACCUCUUAUUUUAUAUAAUUAUUUCUAUUUUGAUAUAUAACAU